RNAcentral lists this transfer RNA (76 nucleotides) under Nodosilinea foveolarum. Its description in RNAcentral is "tRNA-Asp". It matches the Rfam family "tRNA". Rfam says of the family: Transfer RNA (tRNA) molecules are approximately 80 nucleotides in length. Their secondary structure includes four short double-helical elements and three loops (D, anti-codon, and T loops). Further hydrogen bonds mediate the characteristic L-shaped molecular structure. tRNAs have two regions of fundamental functional importance: the anti-codon, which is responsible for specific mRNA codon recognition, and the 3' end, to which the tRNAs corresponding amino acid is attached (by aminoacyl-tRNA synthetases). tRNAs cope with the degeneracy of the genetic code in two manners: having more than one tRNA (with a specific anti-codon) for a particular amino acid; and 'wobble' base-pairing, i.e. permitting non-standard base-pairing at the 3rd anti-codon position. Lineage: Bacteria; Bacillati; Cyanobacteriota; Cyanophyceae; Nodosilineales; Nodosilineaceae. The record is from RNAcentral.
GGGGGUGUAGCUCAGCGGUUAGAGCGCCUGUCUGUCGAACAGGAAGUCGCGGGUUCAAAUCCCGUCUCCCCCGCCA